AUACUUACCUGGCAGGGGAGAUACCAUGAUCACGAAGGUAGUAUUCCCAGGGCGAGGCUUAUCCAUUGCACUCCGAUGUGCUGACCCCUGCGAUUUCCCCAAAUGUGGGAAACUCGGUGGUAGUGGGGGACUGCGUUCGCGCUUUCCCCUG
RNAcentral lists this small nuclear RNA (151 nucleotides) under Canis lupus familiaris (dog). RNAcentral describes it as "U1 spliceosomal RNA (ENSCAFG00040012067.1)". It matches the Rfam family "U1 spliceosomal RNA". Rfam says of the family: U1 is a small nuclear RNA (snRNA) component of the spliceosome (involved in pre-mRNA splicing). Its 5' end forms complementary base pairs with the 5' splice junction, thus defining the 5' donor site of an intron. There are significant differences in sequence and secondary structure between metazoan and yeast U1 snRNAs, the latter being much longer (568 nucleotides as compared to 164 nucleotides in human). Lineage: Eukaryota; Metazoa; Chordata; Mammalia; Carnivora; Canidae. The record is from RNAcentral.